RNAcentral lists this ribosomal RNA (332 nucleotides) under Comamonas sp. R-26817. RNAcentral describes it as "bacterial SSU rRNA". It matches the Rfam family "Bacterial small subunit ribosomal RNA", at positions 14 to 348 of the family's 1533-position model. Lineage: Bacteria; Pseudomonadati; Pseudomonadota; Betaproteobacteria; Burkholderiales; Comamonadaceae. The record is from RNAcentral.
UGAUCCUGGCUCAGAUUGAACGCUGGCGGCAUGCCUUACACAUGCAAGUCGAACGGUAACAGGUCUUUCGGGAUGCUGACGAGUGGCGAACGGGUGAGUAAUACAUCGGAACGUGCCUAGUAGUGGGGGAUAACUACUCGAAAGAGUGGCUAAUACCGCAUGAGAUCUAUGGAUGAAAGCAGGGGACCUUCGGGCCUUGUGCUACUAGAGCGGCCGAUGGCAGAUUAGGUAGUUGGUGGGAUAAAAGCUUACCAAGCCNACGAUCUGUAGCUGGUCUGAGAGGACGAUCAGCCACACUGGGACUGAGACACGGCCCAGACUCCUACGGGAGG